Molecule: ribosomal RNA, 255 nt
Filed under: uncultured bacterium
Lineage: Bacteria
Description: partial 16S ribosomal RNA
Rfam family: Bacterial small subunit ribosomal RNA
Source: RNAcentral
UACGAAGGGGGCUAGCGUUGCUCGGAAUUACUGGGCGUAAAGCGCACGUAGGCGGUCUUUUAAGUCGGGGGUGAAAUCCUGGAGCUCAACUCCAGAACUGCCUUCGAUACUGGAAGACUCGAGUCCGGGAGAGGUGAGUGGAACUGCGAGUGUAGAGGUGAAAUUCGUAGAUAUUCGCAAGAACACCAGUGGCGAAGGCGGCUCACUGGCCCGGUACUGACGCUGAGGUGCGAAAGCGUGGGGGAGCAAACAGGG